RNAcentral lists this ribosomal RNA (399 nucleotides) under uncultured bacterium. Its description in RNAcentral is "bacterial SSU rRNA". It matches the Rfam family "Bacterial small subunit ribosomal RNA", at positions 102 to 520 of the family's 1533-position model. The record is from RNAcentral.
ACGGGUGAGUAACACGUAGACAACCUGCCUUCGAGCCUGGAAUAACCUUUCGAAAGAAGGGCUAAUACCGGAUAACACGCGGGAUCACCUGAUCCUGUGUUGAAAGGCUUGCUACUCGAAGAGGGGUCUGCGGGACAUUAGCUAGUUGGCGAGGUAACGGCUCACCAAGGCGAUGAUGUCUAGCGGGUCUGAGAGGAUGAUCCGCCACACUGGAACUGAGACACGGUCCAGACUCCUACGGGAGGCAGCAGUGGGGAAUUUUGCGCAAUGGGCGAAAGCCUGACGCAGCAACGCCGCGUGAGUGAAGAAGGCCUUUGGGUCGUAAAGCUCUUUUCCGAGGGACGAGGCUGACGGUACCUCGGGAAUAAGCACCGGCUAACUCCGUGCCAGCAGCCGCGG